Molecule: ribosomal RNA, 371 nt
Filed under: uncultured Parvibaculum sp.
Lineage: Bacteria; Pseudomonadati; Pseudomonadota; Alphaproteobacteria; Hyphomicrobiales; Parvibaculaceae
Description: bacterial SSU rRNA
Rfam family: Bacterial small subunit ribosomal RNA
Source: RNAcentral
UCGGAAUUACUGGGCGUAAAGCGCACGUAGGCGGUUUUCCAAGUUGGAGGUGAAAUCCCCGGGCUUAACCUGGGAACUGCCUCCAAGACUGGGAGACUCGAGUCCGAGAGAGGUGAGUGGAAUUUCCAGUGUAGAGGUGAAAUUCGUAGAUAUUGGAAAGAACACCAGUGGCGAAGGCGGCUCACUGGCUCGGUACUGACGCUGAGGAGCGACAGCGUGGGGAGCAAACAGGAUUAGAUACCCUGGUAGUCCACGCCGUAAACUAUGGGUGCUAGUUGUCAGGCAGCUUGCUGUUUGGUGACGCAGCUAACGCAUUAAGCACCCCGCCUGGGGAGUACGGUCGCAAGAUUAAAACUCAAAGGAAUUGACGG